GGAGUUGUGGCUCAGUGGUAGAGUACUUGCCUAGCAUGUGAGAGGCCCUAGGUUUGAUUCUCAGCACCA
This 69-nucleotide transfer RNA is filed under the name Ictidomys tridecemlineatus (thirteen-lined ground squirrel). RNAcentral's name for it is "Spermophilus tridecemlineatus (thirteen-lined ground squirrel) tRNA". It matches the Rfam family "tRNA". Rfam says of the family: Transfer RNA (tRNA) molecules are approximately 80 nucleotides in length. The record is from Rfam by way of RNAcentral. Lineage: Eukaryota; Metazoa; Chordata; Mammalia; Rodentia; Sciuridae.